This 411-nucleotide ribosomal RNA is filed under the name Pseudomonas protegens. RNAcentral describes it as "bacterial SSU rRNA". It matches the Rfam family "Bacterial small subunit ribosomal RNA", at positions 386 to 789 of the family's 1533-position model. The record is from RNAcentral. Lineage: Bacteria; Pseudomonadati; Pseudomonadota; Gammaproteobacteria; Pseudomonadales; Pseudomonadaceae.
AUCCAGCCAUGCCGCGUGUGUGAAGAAGGUCUUCGGAUUGUAAAGCACUUUAAGUUGGGAGGAAGGGCAGUUACCUAAUACGUGAUUGUUUUGACGUUACCGACAGAAUAAGCACCGGCUAACUCUGUGCCAGCAGCCGCGGUAAUACAGAGGGUGCAAGCGUUAAUCGGAAUUACUGGGCGUAAAGCGCGCGUAGGUGGUUUGUUAAGUUGGAUGUGAAAGCCCCGGGCUCAACCUGGGAACUGCAUCCAAAACUGGCAAGCUAGAGUAUGGUAGAGGGUGGUGGAAUUUCCUGUGUAGCGGUGAAAUGCGUAGAUAUAGGAAGGAACACCAGUGGCGAAGGCGACCACCUGGACUGAUACUGACACUGAGGUGCGAAAGCGUGGGGAGCAAACAGGAUUAGAUACCCUG